Molecule: non-coding RNA, 135 nt
Organism: Solanum tuberosum (potato)
Lineage: Eukaryota; Viridiplantae; Streptophyta; Magnoliopsida; Solanales; Solanaceae
Source: Rfam
GUUGCUUCUUAUGGUGAACUCUCUUUGUAAUAAAGUGAGGGAUGUUCAAGUUUCCGAAGCAUAAAUUAACUUGUCAGUAUUAAACAGCAUGGUGCAUUUCCGAUUGCAUCUUGUUACCUGUCUCCUGCUACAUUC